CGGGUUGUCAAGGUAACGACAGUAGUUAACUGUGGUCAGGAACUGGUCUCGGGACCCCGGUGCCAUAUGGAACCAGGAUAAACCGGUAGCACGAAAGACAGGUAGUCUACAGUGGGGGUAUUUCCUUUGUUGUUGAGAACAGCUGCCUGCUUCUGCCGGAAACAUGCAACGAGACUGAAGUCAAAGCACCAACUGUGGUGUUUGGAAGAACCCAUCCAACCAUCCACUGACUUGGACUUUUCUCGCCCCAAGUAGAUACGCUAUAGGGGCUAACUACAGGGUCAAACUCUAACAGCUGAAAUCAAGUAUUUGAUGUGUUGGGAGUGUGAAUGGGCUAUCUGGAGAGGAAGCAAGUCCCUCAGAGUUUGACAUAUUUAUACAUUAGCCAGGAACGGACAACACUGAAUACGUCUGCAUACACACUUAUGUCGAGCUACGGUCAUAGCUUGACUGGGCC
Molecule: long non-coding RNA, 457 nt
Organism: Acanthopagrus latus (yellowfin seabream)
Lineage: Eukaryota; Metazoa; Chordata; Actinopteri; Spariformes; Sparidae
Exons: 3
Source: RefSeq, a predicted model, not a curated record